This is a non-coding RNA of Coturnix japonica (Japanese quail), 867 nucleotides long. The record is from RefSeq and is a predicted model, not a curated record. NCBI's taxonomy places the organism in Eukaryota, Metazoa, Chordata, Aves, Galliformes, Phasianidae.
GUUGAACAGAAGCUGUUGGGAGUAUUUGGGUUCUCAGCUUUGUUACCUUUUCUUACAGAGACUGAAGUUUCCUAAGGUAUCUGUUCCUGGCAAGCAGCUGGUCUCUGCAGCCGCUCUGGGGCUUGCAGCCCACAGGCUCCUGGAAAGCAGCUUUGAACAUAACCACAGUGUGAGACUGCACGCAGCAGAGCAAGCUGCUAUCGAUGUGAUAGAAGCAAAGAGCGUGGAAAAACACCCAACAGCAAGCCUCUAAAUCUUGCUGUUCAGCAGCAGUGUAGUUCAUGUACAUGAAUUACAGAAGGACUGCCUUGCCUAAGAAGCCUCUUGUGCCCUACAAUUCCUGCCUGAAUAAAUGAAUGGUGAGGUUUGCACAAAGCCUGUGUGACAGUGGUGCAGCUCUGACCAGUGUGGGAACAGUCUGAUGGUAGAAAGCAAUGCCUGCCUGCCUCUGAAGGUAUGGGUAAAGGAGCAGCAUCUGGCAGACUGAGUGUGUUGAGGUUGCCAGUGUUUAAUACCACAGCUGCAAAGAACUUGCCUUUAGAGGACUUCAGGCUGAAUACAUUCAUAAUUCUUAACUUUUGUACUUUGUACUACCUAUUUGAACUGUGACUUCAAAUUAAUUUGAAUUCAAAUUCAAAUUACCUCAAAAUAAAUUCCUUUUCACAUGAUGUGUGGCACUGAUGCAUGUUAUGUAUAUCAUUUCAGUGGUAGUUCAUAACUAGGAAUGUAUCUAAGCACAAAUGAACAAAUAAAAUUUUGUACAAAAGGUAUGUAAGUUUCCAAAAUCUUCAAAACUUGCCCACAUUUUUUGCAUAGAUUUAUUGCCUUUGUUCCCUGUAGAUCAAAUAUGAGCACACAAAGGCAAUG